GUGGUUAAAAAGCUCGUAGUUGGAUCUCAACAGACCUGGAUCGGUUUACUUUGUGUAAUACUGAUCCAGGGCUGUGCUUUUGCCGGAGGUUUAGGGGUGCUCUUAACCGAGUGUCUCUGAGUGCCGGCAGGUUUACUUUGAAAAAAUUAGAGUGUUUAAAGCAGGCUGUUAUGCCUGAAUAUUUGUGCAUGGAAUAAUAGAAUAGGAUGUUGAUCUUAUUUUGUUGGUUUUCGAGACUUGACAUAAUGAUUAAUAGGGACAGUCGGGGGCAUUUGUAUUCAAACGACAGAGGUGAAAUUCUUGGACCGUUUGAAGACAAACUACUGCGAAAGCAUUUGCCAAGAAUGUUUUCAUUAAUCAAGAACGAAAGUUAGAGGUUCGAAGGCGAUUAGAUACCGCCCUAGUUCUAACCAUAAACGAUGCCAGCUAGCGAUCUGCUGACGUUUUUACUGUAGACUCAGUAGGAAGCUUCCGGGAAACCAAAGCAUUUGGGUUCCAGGGGAAGUAUGGUUGCAAAGCUGAAACUUAAAGGAAUUGACGGAAGGGCACCACCAGGAGUGGAGCCUGUGGCUUAAUUUGACUCAACACGGGAAAUCUCACCAGGCCCGGACACUGGAAGGAUUGACAGAUUGAUAGCUC
This 639-nucleotide ribosomal RNA is filed under the name uncultured marine eukaryote. Its description in RNAcentral is "SSU rRNA". It matches the Rfam family "Eukaryotic small subunit ribosomal RNA", at positions 615 to 1257 of the family's 1831-position model. The record is from RNAcentral.